GAUGAACGCUGGCGGCGUGCCUAAUACAUGCAAGUCGAGCGAACGGACGAGAAGCUUGCUUCUCUGAUGUUAGCGGCGGACGGGUGAGUAACACGUGGAUAACCUACCUAUAAGACUGGGAUAACUUCGGGAAACCGGAGCUAAUACCGGAUGAUAUUUUGAACCGCAUGGUUCAAAAGUGAAAGACGGUCUUGCUGUCACUUAUAGAUGGAUCCGCGCUGCAUUAGCUAGUUGGUAAGGUAACGGCUUACCAAGGCAACGAUGCAUAGCCGACCUGAGAGGGUGAUCGGCCACACUGGAACUGAGACACGGUCCAGACUCCUACGGGAGGCAGCAGUAGGGAAUCUUCCGCAUUGGGCGAAAGCCUGACGGAGCAACGCCGCGUGAGUGAUGAAGGUCUUCGGAUCGUAAAACUCUGUUAUUAGGGAAGAACAUAUGUGUAAGUAACUGUGCACAUCUUGACGGUACCUAAUCAGAAAGCCACGGCUAACUACGU
Molecule: ribosomal RNA, 496 nt
Filed under: uncultured bacterium
Lineage: Bacteria
Description: partial 16S ribosomal RNA
Rfam family: Bacterial small subunit ribosomal RNA
Source: RNAcentral